UACGUAGGUGGCAAGCGUUGUCCGGAAUUAUUGGGCGUAAAGCGCGCGCAGGCGGCCUUUUAAGUCUGAUGUGAAAUCUUGCGGCUCAACCGCAAGCGGCCAUUGGAAACUGGGAGGCUUGAGUACAGAAGAGGAGAGUGGAAUUCCACGUGUAGCGGUGAAAUGCGUAGAUAUGUGGAGGAACACCAGUGGCGAAGGCGACUCUCUGGUCUGUAACUGACGCUGAGGCGCGAAAGCGUGGGGAGCAAACAGGAUUAGAAACCCCCGUAGUCC
Molecule: ribosomal RNA, 273 nt
Filed under: uncultured bacterium
Lineage: Bacteria
Description: partial 16S ribosomal RNA
Rfam family: Bacterial small subunit ribosomal RNA
Source: RNAcentral